AACGGCGAGUGAACAGGGAAAAGCCCAGCGCCGAAGCCUCCGUCCCGAGCGGGCGGUAGGCAAUGUGGCGUUCGGGAGAAACCUCUCCUUCCGGAAGCUGUCUGGGAGCCCAGGUCCCCCUGACCGGGGCCAUCGCCCGUUGAGGGUGCAAGGCCCGUGCGGCUCUCGGCGUCCGGAGGACGGUUUUAUUUCUCCCGGGAGUCGGGUUGCUUGGGAGUGCAGCCCUAAGAGGGUGGUAAACUCCAUCUAAGGCUAAAUACUUCCACGAGACCGAUAGCAAACAAGUACCGUGAGGGAAAGUUGCAAAGAACUUUGAAGAGAGAGUUCAAGAGUACGUGAAACCGCUCGUAGGUAAACGGGUGGGCCCUCGAAGGCAAGCAGGAGGGGAUUCAACCCGUUGGCAGUCGACCGUGCACGGCGGUUUUUCUCGAAACGGAUCCGAGAGACCGGCCCGUUGGUGCCGCGGUCGUCAGCGGGCGCACUUCCCCUUCUCGCGUCUCGUCUCUGUAGGCGAGACCGAACGCCGCGACCGGUCGGGAGAUACGACGGCGGCCAAGCGGCGAGACUGGGCAGGUAUCCUACUCGUCCUUUCUGUCCGUUAAGCCCACUCUCGGGUGGGUGGGCAGGAUGGCUUGUAGGAGUUUCAGCCCGUCUCGACCCGGCUCCGCCGCCCGACCGUGGUCUAGAACCGAGGUUCGACAACCGCGCACGCGCUCUGACGCUCGAGCCCGUCCCGCACGUAGGGUUUUUCUGGCCGCCGAUAGACCCCUCCCCCCCGCUCAGGCGGUUACAUGAAGCGGUCGCCCUGCGUUGCGUCCCUAGGACGUGUGCUCUCGAACGAUAGGAUUUUUUUUUUUUUUUAAAAAAGGAGUCYUACGUUGCGCUUGUGGUCGGCGGCGAGUAGGUCGGUAACCCACCCGACCCGUCUUGAAACCCGGGCCCAGGAGUUUAACAUGUGUGCGAGUCGUAGGGUUCGUCCGAAACCCGAAGGCGCAGUGAAAGUAGAGGUCGGACGUCUCUUCGGGGAUGUCUGUACCGAGGCGGGAUCCGUCUAUUUUUUUAUUCUUUCGCAAGAAAGGGAGAAGAAUUUGAAGAAUGAAACUAUUUGUUUCUUCCUUUUCUCCUUCGGGGGUUUAGGAGAAACAGUGUUUUUUUUUUUGGACGGCGCACCGCCGGCCCGUCUCGACCGCCACGUCGGUGAGGCGGAGCAAGAGCACACACGUUGGGACCCGAAAGAUGGUGAACUAUUCCUAGGCAGGACGAAGCCAGAGGAAACUCUGGUGGAGGUCCGUAGCGUUUCUGACGUGCAAAUCGAUCGUCAGACCUGGGUAUAGGGGCGAAAGACUAAUCGAACCAUCUAGUAGCUGGUUCCCUCCGAAGUUUCCCUCAGGAUAGCUGGCUCUCGAGACACACAGUCUCAUCCGGUAAAGCGAAUGAUUAGAGGCCUUGGGGCCGAAACGACCUCAACCUAUUCUCAAACUUUCAAUGGGUGAGAAGUCCGGCUUGCUUGACUUGAAGCCCGGACGUCGGAUGCGAGUGCCCAGUGGGCCACUUUUGGUAAGCAGAACUGGCGCUGUGGGAUGAACCAAACGCCGGGUUACGGCGCCAAAUGCGACGCUCAUCAGACACCAUGAAAGGUGUUGGUUGCUAUAGACAGCAGGACGGUGGCCAUGGAAGUCGGAAUCCGCUAAGGAGUGUGUAACAACUCACCUGCCGAAGCAACUAGCCCUGAAAAUGGAUGGCGCUCAAGCGUCGAGCCUAUACCCGGCCGCCGGGGCAGAGCCCGCUUGUGUUUGUUUUUUUUUUUUCCGUCAAAAAGAAAAGAGAAAAAUUUAUAGAUAAACGGCCCCAGACGCCCCGGCGAGUAGGAGGGUCGCGGCGGUGAGCGGAAAAGGGUCGGGCGUAGGCCCGCCUGGAGCCUCCGCCGGUGCAGAUCUUGGUGGUAGUAGCAAAUACUCGAGUGAGAACCUUGAGGACUGAUGUGGAGAAGGGUUCCAUGUGAACAGCAGUUGAACAUGGGUCAGUCGGCCCUAAGGAAUAGGGAAAUCCCGUUCCGAACGGGGGGGUGUAUAUAAAAUUGAUAAGAAAAAACCCCCGCCCAGACCGAAAGGGAAUCGGGUUAAUAUUCCCGAACCCGGACACGGAGAUCGGGCCCAUCGUGGUCCAGUGCGGUGACGCAAGCCACCUCGGAGACGUCGGCGGGAGUCCCGGGAAGAGUUGUCUUUUCUUUGUAAGGGACGGAAUCCCUGGAAUCGGUUCGCCCGGAGAUAGGGAUGUGGUUUCCGUAAAGCACCGCGCCUCCUGCGGUGUCCGGACAGCUCUCGUCGGCCCUUGAAAAUCCGAGGAAGGUAGUGCGAUUUUCGUGCCGGGCCGUACCCAUAUCCGCAGCAGGUCU
This 2395-nucleotide ribosomal RNA is filed under the name Dendrothereua homa. RNAcentral's name for it is "partial 28S ribosomal RNA". It matches the Rfam family "Eukaryotic large subunit ribosomal RNA", at positions 85 to 1867 of the family's 3401-position model. Lineage: Eukaryota; Metazoa; Arthropoda; Chilopoda; Scutigeromorpha; Scutigeridae. The record is from RNAcentral.